CCUACGGGAGGCAGCAGUGGGGGAUAUUGCACAAUGGGGGGAACCCUGAUGCAGCGACGCCGCGUGGGUGAAGAAGCGCCUCGGCGCGUAAAGCCCUGUCAGCAGGGAAGAAAAUGACGGUACCUGAAGAAGAAGCCCCGGCUAACUACGUGCCAGCCGCCGCGGUAAUACGUAGGGGGCAAGCGUUAUCCGGAUUGACUGGGUAGAAAGGGGGCGCAGACGGCGAUGCAAGCCAGGAGUGAAAGCCCGGGGCCCAACCCCGGGACUGCUCGUGGAACUGCGUGGCUGGAGUGCAGGAGGGGCAGGCGGAAUUCCUGGUGUAGCGGUGAAAUGCGUAGAUAUCAGGAGGAACACCGGUGGCGAAGGCGGCCUGCUGGACUGCAACUGACGUUGAGGCCCGAAAGCGUGGGGAGCAAACAGGAUUAGAUACCCUGGUAGUC
This 440-nucleotide ribosomal RNA is filed under the name uncultured bacterium. Its description in RNAcentral is "partial 16S ribosomal RNA". It matches the Rfam family "Bacterial small subunit ribosomal RNA", at positions 338 to 795 of the family's 1533-position model. The record is from RNAcentral.